CCCUUAGAUGUUCUGGGCCGCACGCGCGCUACACUGAUGCAUUCAACGAGUUUUUCCUUGGCCGAGAGGCCUGGGCAAUCUUGUGAACGUGCAUCGUGAUAGGGAUAGAUUCUUGCAAUUAUUAAUCUUGAACGAGGAAUUCCUAGUAAACGCAGAUCAUCAAUCUGCAUUGAUUACGUCCCUGCCCUUUGUACACACCGCCCGUCGCACCUACCGAUUGAAUGGUCCGGUGAAGCCUCGAGAUUGUGGCUAGCUUGCUUCAUUGCGAGUUAGUUGCGAGAACUUGUCUAAACCUCAUCAUUUAGAGGAAGGUGAAGUCGUAACA
Molecule: ribosomal RNA, 325 nt
Filed under: uncultured eukaryote
Lineage: Eukaryota
Description: partial 18S ribosomal RNA
Rfam family: Eukaryotic small subunit ribosomal RNA
Source: RNAcentral